AGUCGUCGUACUGCGUUGCGGAGGAAUAGACAUCUGAACAUCGCCUCACGAUGGCUCCGUAUCGUCGCGCAUGUGCGAGUUGAAAUAAGGUGGCCGGUGCGGUAAUAGCAUUCGGGGUAAUACUGGUGCAGACUGGAAGCGACUCGCCGCGACAGUCGGACGUGCAUCAAAGCGACGCGUCGACUUGUCUGAAGGAACGAUCUCUGCAGUUUAACCGAAUGGUAUGGCGAGAAGAUAAACCUCCGAAAGUCUAUAAAAUGCAUCACAGAAAGACGAUUCUAUACUGCAUUCGUACGGAAAAAGAACUGCUUUUACUGCGACGUGCCGUUAAAAACUUCAUACUGCACUUUCUCUGUCCUUUUCUCUAUCUGGCUGUUGCGAUGCGCCGUCAACGGCAAGUUGUCGUUUUUACGGUGUCCUCGCCGUCAUGCCACUUAUGCAUUCUUGUUGUGAUCGUCCCCGCCACAUGGCGCAAAAGAAGAUAGUGGAACAAACAUUACCUACCACCGGCAGGAACAGCAACCCGCACUAUAUGUAGAAUGAACGCCCCUGUAGUAGAGCUCGGCGAACACAGUCGAGAGUCAAUUCACUCACUCACUCAAACUCCGACCAACCCGUGAACAGAGUCCGAGUGAGGGGACCCUAACACAAGUACAUACAUACAUACAUACAUACAUACAUACAUACAUACAUACAUACAUACAUACAUACAUACAUUUCAAUGGUUUGUACUGUGGUGAAGCCAACUCCUUGCCGCCUCUUGUUCUGCAGUGAAGGCCAAAUAUUAAUUUCCCAGAAAAAAAUAUCCGUUUCAGGCAGGCAAAAGAAAUUCCCUCCAAAGAGCUGUUUGCUUGCAUUGAUCACUCCGCACGCAUUCGCAGACGCCGUUUUUCGCGAUAACGAUACGAAUGGCCACAUAUUAAUUUUCCCGAAAUAAUAAAAAAACGGUAAGCCCACGAAAAUAUCCGUUUCGGGCAAGUAAAAUGUGUCAUAUGUAAGAGGCAUGGGACGCAAAAAGAAGAGGACGAUGUGCGCCGACCGGUCCGAAUGGCACGAGCCCUCGAGGCGCGUGACCCGAGGUGUGAUCGGAGGAGAAGCGGCGCCAAGGUGGGAUUAUCGACGUGGCUAUGGGCCAAGAAGGUCGGAGCGCCAGCUUCGUACUGGCGACGGGACCCAUGAAGGUUCGGACAGGCCCGUGACGCUGGCGACCCAGGGUGUGCCCGUCGACCUCGGCGACGUUCGAGCGAGGCUUCCAGGACCUGCUGCAGCCUCCCACGGCAGUGCCGGGCACUCCAGGAAUUGGAUCCCUCUUCUUCGGCAGACCAGCACGAACGGUAGUCCCCGGGGCGUACCGCCGGCACUCGGAUAAGAAGCGAUGGAGCCCGGUGUUAGGCCUAGCCAGGCAGGCCUGAGUGCCACGUCACCGACAUAAUUCGGGACGCCAGCAUCCGAGACGGAGGAGCUGGCCGGCCGAUACCAAGGAAGCAAAACUUGUGGAAUCGGCGGGAGCACUGACGGGGACCAAGAGCCGACACACAUCGGACUUGGAGUGACAUGCGACGACGGAACCUUGUAAGAGCGUUCCUUUUUGUUAGCGUGCAGCCAUAGGUCAGGGUUGCCGGACUAUUGCGCGAAAUGCGCUAAGGACGCCCGUAGGCGAAGAUAAGGACAUUGUUUUGGCUAAGCAAGUUCGGAGUUUUAUUUUUGUCAGUUGAGUUUUGAGUUCCGUUUUGAGUGUGUUUUAUUUUGGGUUUGCUAUUAGUAAAGUCUAUUUGCUGUGCU
Molecule: long non-coding RNA, 1782 nt
Organism: Dermacentor andersoni
Lineage: Eukaryota; Metazoa; Arthropoda; Arachnida; Ixodida; Ixodidae
Source: RefSeq, a predicted model, not a curated record